Molecule: ribosomal RNA, 229 nt
Filed under: uncultured bacterium
Lineage: Bacteria
Description: partial 16S ribosomal RNA
Rfam family: Bacterial small subunit ribosomal RNA
Source: RNAcentral
CAUGUAGGCGGUUAAGUAAGUCUGAUGUGAAAGCACACAGCUCAACUGUGAUGUUGCGUUGGAAACUGCUUGACUUGAAUACGAGAGGGGUAAGUGGAAUUCCUAGUGUAGGGGUGAAAUCUGUUGAUAUUAGGAAGAACACCAGAGGCGAAGGCGACUUACUGGCUCUGGAUUGACGCUGAGAUGCGAAAGCGUAGGUAGCGAACAGGAUUAGAUACCCUGGUAGUCC